AGUGAACGCUGGCGGUAGGCCUAACACAUGCAAGUCGAACGGCAGCACAGUAAGAGCUUGCUCUUACGGGUGGCGAGUGGCGGACGGGUGAGGAAUACAUCGGAAUCUACUUUUUCGGGGGGGAUAACGUAGGGAAACUUACGCUAAUACCGCAUACGACCUACGGGUGAAAGCAGGGGAUCUUCGGACCUUGCGCGAUUGAAUGAGCCGAUGUCGGAUUAGCUAGUUGGCGGGGUAAAGGCCAACCAAGGCGACGAUCCGUAGCUGGUCUGAGAGGAUGGUCGGCCACAUUGGAACGGAACCACGGUCCAGACUCCUACGGGAGGCAGCAGUGGGGAAUAUUGGACAGUGGUCGCAAGCCUGAUCCAGCCAUACCGCGUGGGUUAAGAAGGCCUUCGGGUUGUAAAGCCCUUUUGUUGGGAAAGAAAAGCAUCAGGUUAAUACCCCGCUGUUCUGACGGUACCCAAAGAAUAAGCACCGGCUAACUUCGUG
Molecule: ribosomal RNA, 492 nt
Filed under: uncultured bacterium
Lineage: Bacteria
Description: partial 16S ribosomal RNA
Rfam family: Bacterial small subunit ribosomal RNA
Source: RNAcentral